Molecule: long non-coding RNA, 597 nt
Filed under: Homo sapiens (human)
Lineage: Eukaryota; Metazoa; Chordata; Mammalia; Primates; Hominidae
Description: HSALNT0111894
Source: RNAcentral
GAGGGGAGCCAAGAUGGCCGAAUAGGAACAGCUCCGGUCUACAGCUCCCAGCGUGAGCGACCCAGAAGACGGGUGAUUUCUGCAUUUCCAUCUGAGGUACCGGGUUCAUCUCACUAGGGAGUGUCAGACAGUGGGCGCAGGUUGGAGUUGUUGCUACCUGUGUCUACCCAGCCAAGGACUUUAUGCCUCAGGCCUUCAUAUUCAGGACAUGUUUCUCAUGAAAAUUUUGGAAAUGUGAAAUUACAGAAAAGCCCAAAGGAAAACAAUGAAAAUCUCUUGCAACUACAGUACUUAGAAAAAUGCCUAUUAUCAUUUUGUUUUAUAUCCCUGCUGUCUUUAUAUGUACAACUUGCAUUUUGCAAGAGUUUAGAAAGUUGUAACCUUAUUUUUUAAAUCAGUGCAUAACUAAUAUUUUUUAUGCUAUUAAAAUAUUAUUUUAAGAUGUAAUAUCUAAUCACAUGUCUGCAUCAUAAUCUACUUAAUCUCCCCUUGUUCACAAUUAAGUAGUUUCCAAUUUUUCACUAUCAAAGUAAUGCUACAACAAGAAGGAUAUCCUGGUAUAUAAAUAAUUUUACACAACACAGUUAUUUCCUUGAC